This 464-nucleotide ribosomal RNA is filed under the name uncultured bacterium. Its description in RNAcentral is "bacterial SSU rRNA". It matches the Rfam family "Bacterial small subunit ribosomal RNA", at positions 32 to 507 of the family's 1533-position model. The record is from RNAcentral.
GACAACGCUGGCGGCGUGCUUAACACAUGCAAGUCGAACGGUACGAGGAGCUUGCUCCUCUGAUCAGUGGCGAACGGGUGAGUAACACGUGAGCAACCUGCCCCAGACUCUGGGAUAACAGUUGGAAACAGCUGCUAAUACCGGAUACGAGACGGAGAGGCAUCUCUACCGUCUGGAAAGUUUUUCGGUCUGGGAUGGACUCGCGGCCUAUCAGCUAGUUGGUGAGGUAAUGGCUCACCAAGGCGACGACGGGUAGCCGGCCUGAGAGGGCGACCGGCCACACUGGGACUGAGACACGGCCCAGACUCCUACGGGAGGCAGCAGUGGGGAAUAUUGCACAAUGGGCGAAAGCCUGAUGCAGCGACGCCGCGUGAGGGAUGACGGCCUUCGGGUUGUAAACCUCUUUCAGCAGGGAAGAAGCGAAAGUGACGGUACCUGCAGAAGAAGCACCGGCUAACUACGUG